GACGAACGCUGGCGGCGUGCCUAAUACAUGCAAGUUGAGCGCUGAAGGUUGGUACUUGUACCAACUGGAUGAGCAGCGAACGGGUGAGUAACGCGUGGGGAAUCUGCCUUUGAGCGGGGGACAACAUUUGGAAACGAAUGCUAAUACCGCAUAAAAACUUUAAACACAAGUUUUAAGUUUGAAAGAUGCAAUUGCAUCACUCAAAGAUGAUCCCGCGUUGUAUUAGCUAGUUGGUGAGGUAAAGGCUCACCAAGGCGAUGAUACAUAGCCGACCUGAGAGGGUGAUCGGCCACAUUGGGACUGAGACACGGCCCAAACUCCUACGGGAGGCAGCAGUAGGGAAUCUUCGGCAAUGGACGAAAGUCUGACCGAGCAACGCCGCGUGAGUGAAGAAGGGUUUCGGAUCGUAAAACUCGGUUGGCAGAGAAGAACGUUGGUGAGAGUGGAAAGCUCAUCAAGUGACGGUAACUACCCAGAAAGGGACGGCUAACUACGUG
This 497-nucleotide ribosomal RNA is filed under the name uncultured bacterium. RNAcentral describes it as "partial 16S ribosomal RNA". It matches the Rfam family "Bacterial small subunit ribosomal RNA", at positions 28 to 507 of the family's 1533-position model. The record is from RNAcentral.